AUCUCUCUCAAUAAACCUAGCCGUCGGCAUCACCGAGAAGAUUCGUUUGGAGCUGAAAUUAAAUCGAUCAAUCUCCAGAGAGAGAUAUUUGUUAUGAGAUGGCAUUAGGAUGGGAAUCACAGGGAACAAAGGAAGGUGUUACGAGUUCUGGAGAUUUCAGUGAAUGUAUGUCAAAUUGUAGAGAACCUAAAGAUUGUGCUAAAAAGGGUUUUUGAUGGAUUUAUGCUGCAGAAGGAAGUGAGAUGCUAAGGAAAGAGAAAGUUUAUUAUUCGAAUUGUAAGUAUUCUGUAUUCUAAAUUUACCAAUGGAGAACUCAGAGCAGAGAGACAAAGAGAGAGAAUGAAGUUUGCCUUUUGUAUUUGAAUAUUGAGCGUUCAAGAUUUUUCAGGUAAGUAUCAUCUUCUUAAUUAUUAAGCAACAAAGUGUGUACCUUCCAUAAGGACCAUAACUAAUUCCAACCCACAUUGACUGAUGGUAAGUUCAUCCCUGCUAUUUACUUUUAGGUUAUGAUAUUUAGCUGCCUGUUGUUUACCCUUUUUAAUACUGAGUGACUGGGGAAGGUGAUUAUCUGAGUUUGCGCAACUCCUGAUAUUUUUUGUCCUACCAUUUUUCUAUCCUUCGAGAUCAUGCUGUACCUAUGGUUCUUGCACUGCUCAUCCAUCAGGUUUGCUAACAUAAGUAGAUAUGUCAUCAUUUUAUUUUAGGAUUGAUCAAAGUCAGCUAUAUGGAAAAUUAUCUGUGCUUUUUUCUUUAGAUUUUUAGUUUAAUUUCCGUUAACCGUGUUUUUCUUUGCUACAAUAGAGAAAAAUAAACAGGUUGGUUGAGGAAUACAUAUCCAAUUGGGAGAGAAUAGUCAACUUUCAACAAAUGCUUUUAUGAUAAAUGGCCACCAGAAUUGAGCUUUUUUGCUUCCAAGUAAUGCAAGCACAUAUGAGGAGCUUUGUAUGUGCAAUCUAACGAAGGUCCAAGUGAUAGCAAGGAGUACUUAUUACUAUCGUCCAAAGAAUGGGAGAAGGAGAAACACUACAUCCUAGAGUUUGGUGGCACUCCAGCAAGCAAGUAAUGUUCCUCUUCAACUGUUUAUUUCCAGAAAGAAAUUCAUGCUUUCAUCUCCCAGCUCAGAAUUUGAAUUAUUUGAUAGAAAAAUGAUAAAAUCCAAUUUAUGGUUUUGUUUUAAUUUGUUAUUCAAAAUUUGCUUACAAAAAGUCAAUCUUUUGGGUAUUAUCAUAAAACUAAUGUACAUAUAUUGGAUAGGCCAUUGUAUAAUGGAAUGUAAAUUAUCAUCAUCAUCUAGCGAGGCACAGGAAAAGGUAAACUCUUAUUAAUGUCGUAGCGCUCUUUUAAUUAUUACUUUCUUCAAACUGUUUAUGAUAGUUUUGAAGAUGUUAAAUAUGUGUUUUCUUUUUAUAAGAGUUUAGAGAUAGGUUAGUAACCAAAAUAUGAGGAAACAGAAAGUUGAGCAUUAGUAACCAUACUCAUAUCUGAUCAGAGAAGGCCACUCCUAUGUGAGGUAUAAUCUAAGAAACUCUAACAUAUUAUGCCCAGAGCAUUGUAUUAUUGUGUCAACUUAUACAUAUGAUUAGUAGCAUAUGAGGAUUGUGAAUUUCGAACAUGGUUUCUGUAUUAAACUUUUUGGCUGUAUUUUCUUGGUUUUUCAUGUUCACUUUUCUAGAGUUCAUCUACAUGGUAUCAGUGUACUUACAACCUUGCUACCCACUGCUGUAGCUUUGUUGUAAUAUACCAAUAGUUAAAACAGUUUAUUGUAUUGUAAUAGCUUUGCGCUACUCAUGGUUUAAAACAGUUUCCCUUUGCAUUGUAUUGUGUAACAACAAACUGACAAAAUAGAAUCACUUUAUGUGACCGACAUCAAUAUUUGAUUAAUUUCAAUAGUUAAUUUGAUACUUUGAAUAGGUAUAAGCAUCAGUUUUACCCUUAAUUGAAUUCGACGGCCAAGAAAGUUCAGUAAUGUCAAGGGUGCGUGGGUCAACAGGAAUAAGGUAGGGUGGUGGUCUGGGACGUCUGGAAACGUCCGGAUAUUCCGAAAUGUUCCUUAGCGUAGGAUCUAAAGCACUAAAAAUAGUCUUUUCAUGUGUGUUAUUUAUCUGCUUCAUUUUUCUUUUUCUGCUACUAUGAUUCUUCUCCUCACUCGCGAAGAAACCCGGAUUCUUGAUUAAAUGGUUUUAUUUUUGAGAUUUCAGUUUCCUUUAUGUUUGCAGGAAAUUUAGGAGGGAAAGUUGAAUCACAAAGACGAUGAGAGGAAACGAAGAAGGAGUGUUUAGGUUAAAAGAAUUGAAGCUCGGUAAGACAGAACUGCAAAAUGAGUCGAGGUUCAUCUGUUGAAAGGCUCUCUCUGGGAUCAUAUGCAAGUAAUCAGUUGAACUGCCUAAGUGGUAAGUUUGUAGUCCAUAUAUGGCGAGGCAAAGAAAUAAAUGAUUCUCUAUAAUAUUCAGAGAUUUGACUGCAUGAUUAGAUUAUUUCCGAAUUGUUAGAUUAUGCAUUUACAUUCAAAUUUUUGUGACUUCUGAGCACUAAGUAUGGCGAGGAAAAGAAAUUAAUACUUCUCUUUACGAAUGUGUAUAAUUACCUUUGUUAUGGUUUGAAAUUUUGAGGAGCAGAAGUUAUGGUCUGAUUGUUCAGGAGCUCUAUUUUUUUUUUAGUAUGUUCUAAUAAUUUCUCUCAUUAUUUUGAAAGAAAAAUGUUGUUAGUUAUUGAGUAGACCAAGCAUUUCACUGACGCCCAAAAUUUUAGUAUAUAGGCAUACAAAUGUUGGUCUUCACUAAGUCUCUGUUUGGCCACAGCAUGUGACUCUCUGAACAUAUGUAAUACAAAAAUUUUAUGAACCUGUAUAAUAUAUGUUGUUAUUAGAAGUAUUGUUCGCUAACAUUCUUCUUGCUUCUCCUUUGCAGUUUGAUCUGUUGUUAAUAUGGCUAUUAUCCAGAAAUAAUUUAUGUUUUUGGCUAUUAUGUGCAAUUCUUUCCUUUGUGUGUUUUCCUACUAUAGCAAUUAGCAAUUUAUGGGUAAUCGGAAACUGCUGUUGUUUCUCAAAGAUCAUUUUUUUUGAAUUAUUAUUCAUAUUCAGCACUAAUGAGCACAUAGAAUCUCACUGAAAAAACAUUUUGGGUGAGUUGAAAUACCAUUUAUAGCUUAGUUGCGGGAAUUUUUCUGAAAAAACAGAUUUAUCAGUGGAAUUGACCAAGAGAAUCUCAAUAAGCUUAAGAGGAUAAUACCAAGUAGAACCAACACUUUCUUCUGAGAUAGAAAUGUUACCCUUGCAAAAAAAAAAUUAAAAUUAUUGGUAUCAUUGUUGACCAUUUACUAUUACUGUAGAAAAUUUAAGGAAAUGGUGGCUAAGCUACUCAUCUGUGCAGGUUUAGCUGCAACAACCAGUAAUGGUUACUAUUAACCUGGAAGUUGCAAAGAAAGGGAUGGAAAAUUUAUCUAUCUUAGGACCAAAGAACUAAAACCCGAUCUCUGAUACCACUGUUCCCAUUGACAUGGAAUUGUACAAUUACUAAGAAAGUUCAAAAUCUCUUUUAUUAUUUUAAUUCUAUGUUGUUGUGAUGUUGUAAAAAUUCUACAGUAUAAUAACCCAAAUACAUGAUUAUGAAUCUGAUCGCCAUUCCUCACGUGUUGCUACUUGCCAUCUUAGCUCAGUUGGAAGAGCUCAUGGGUUUGAACCAUGUGGUUGUGGGUUCGAUUCCCACAGAUGGCGGGGGUCCCUAUGGUUACACAUGUUUCGUGCAGCUAAUCUUACUUGGUUCUUUUGCGGUACCAAUGCUUAUUACUUAUCACCUUUCUAAUUAAUAGGCUUACCGAUGCCUAACUGAGGUAGUUCAUUGUCUCUACAGAUCAGCUGUUGUAGUAUUAUUCCUUUUCAUCAGACCCCUUAUACUUUAUUUACAUGGUUAUAAAUUGUUCAUUUUAUAUAUUAAGUUUCACGGUGCUUAAUUACACGUCUAAGGUUUGAAUGAAGCGUCUUAGAUUGUUUUUAGAUGUACCCAAACGCUAAUAUUUUUUCCCUUACAGGUAGAAAUGUCAACGGUGGGUUCUCAGAGACAGGUGGACAGGGUCAUGGCAGAAGUUCUGGAAACCCUAUGCUUUAAAGCUAACAUCACUUUUCUUGGUAUUUUUGCAGGAUCUUGAGUGUAUGUAUAACCAAGUGUAAGUUUCUUAAACUGUACGACAAUUGCAACUUAAAACGUCUCUCGCAAGUGGGAUGUGCCGCAAUUUAUAGAAUAGGGGUGUAUGCAAGUAAGGUAUUAGCAGACUUUCCUACUCUUAGAAGGUUAAGUUUGGUGUUCUAAAAGAACAGGCAUGAAUUAGUUCUCUAGCAAUAAAUAAUCCUUGGUUUCCUUAAAAACUUUAUGCUUUUUAGGCUUUAUUUCCCAGACAUAAUAUAACAUAUUUUAAUCGAUCACUAACCAUAAAUUUAACCUACCUGUUAGCAAUAAAGGCAUUUUCUCCCGAUUUUAGUGAACCACAUGUAUGAUUUACCUAUUUCUUAAUCGAUCACUAGCCAUAAAAUUGAUCUACCUAUUUUUUUGUCCAGAAAUUAACCUCAUUGGUUAUUUCUAGCAGACCUGAUUUUAAUGUCCUGCCAAAUUCAAGCCAGAACUUAAAUUUUGCACAUAAUUUACUUAGCUGAAAUUUUAUUGGUAUUCAAGUUUUAUUUGUUGAUAAGUUGUUGAUAAAGAGGCCAUCGUAGGUGUUUUUUUCCAAAAUUUGUACUGCCUCGCCACAUCCAUGGUAUGAAACCUAAAAUGCAAAAAGAUUUUUCGAGGAAAUCUGUUUAGAGACUAUCUAUGAUUAGCAGAUGUGUAUGUAGUUAUUGCAGCUUUGUUUUUCAAUUUAUCAGUAGUGUGUAUAUGUUAUAGUGUGGUGCAUUUUCCUAGGUAAUUAAUAUGUCUUUGUGAAAAUGAUUAAGCUAUGGACAUUUCUACUAAUGGUCGUGCCGUGAAGUACAUGUUCAGGUAUGUUAGCAAAGGAACAGAGCGAGUGGGUACCAAAUCAAAGCCUGAGGAACAUAUUUACUUGAGCAAUGAUACAGUGGAACAGAAAGCGCCCGAGGUAAUUACUGACAUUGAUGUCUCAGCAUGCGAUGGCAGAUUUCUAUAAAGAAGAUAUAAAAAGGAAGAAUAUAGAGCGAAGAACGUACAAGUUUGGAUAUCGACAGAAGAAGGAAAAGAUAGAGCAAAAUACGUACAAGCUUGGAUUUGGGGUGAUGACAUCCUUGGAGAAAGCCAAGAUAUCAAUAGAUGAAAUGUUUUUGGGGGAACUUGAAAUAAUAGCUGACUACACAGCGUAGGCGAAAUCGUACUUCUGUGUAGAAAGAAUAUGGGGAUGGUCUCGAUCUAACGAAGAGAUAAUAAGAUGUGGGGAUUGUUUCGAUCUUACGAAAAGAUGCUAGAAGAAGAUGCUGCUAAGAAGGUGAAAGGAAGAAAUUUUUUGUUGAUACGGCCAUGAAUCUACCGAUUUUUUAUUAGUACUGCAAUGACUGUCUUUUUUCCGGGUGUUAUUCAGUGAUUAUUCUUCAACCAUUUUGGAUGUACUCGAUGCUGGAUCUCUAUCCUUUUCGAUUCUUGAACUUUAUUACUAUCUUCUUUGUUGGUUUGGUUUGUUAGUCUUUGAAUUAUGUUUUGUGAAAUUACAUACAUGACUUUGAUAGAAUGUGUGGA
Molecule: long non-coding RNA, 5675 nt
Organism: Papaver somniferum (opium poppy)
Lineage: Eukaryota; Viridiplantae; Streptophyta; Magnoliopsida; Ranunculales; Papaveraceae
Exons: 4
Source: RefSeq, a predicted model, not a curated record